CUGGACUCCUUUUGCCUUUGCAGCAAGACGUGCAAGAGGUACAGUGUCAUCCUGAGCAGAACAGGUGGUCACAACCUCCCUUGCUUCUCUCCGGCCAGAAGGAGGCUAAUGUCCAGCCCCCGGCGAGGCACACUUGAUUCACCAGCAGAGCACAAUGAUACGGGGCCCCUUUGAGUUCACGCGUAUGGAAUUUAAGAAGUAAGACAAAUGAGCAACAAUGGAAAAAGGAGACAAAAAAUAAACAAAAAACCAGAAUUCUAAUACAGAGAAGAAGCUGGCGGAUGCCAGAGGCAAGUGACGGGUGAGUGAAUGGGUGAAACUGACAAAGGGAAUUAAGAGACACUUAUCUUGAUGAGCACUGAGACCUGUAUAGCAUUGUCAACCUGAAAUUAAUAGAACACUGCAUGUUAAUUAUACCUGAAUUAAAACAAAAGACAAAACAACUUGAAAAAAAAAAAACUCUGUGCUGCAUGUAGUAAA
Molecule: long non-coding RNA, 480 nt
Filed under: Mustela putorius furo (domestic ferret)
Lineage: Eukaryota; Metazoa; Chordata; Mammalia; Carnivora; Mustelidae
Description: lncRNA (ENSMPUG00000030977.1)
Source: RNAcentral